AGAAAAAGAGAUCAAAAUCCAAAAUCAAAGGUCCAGUACUUCAAAACCCGAACGCUAGAAAAUUUCAGUUUUCUACUGCAUUCCAGUACUCGCCCAAUGCAGUACCGGUACUCCGCCCAAUACCGGUACCCUGAGCCGAGUUCCUCAAAACCCGAGAGCUGACUAAACCAGUUCGCAACUGAGUUCCGGUACCACAUUCCAGUACCGGUACUCAACACAAACUCUGCAAACACAGUCAAAUCCUUCAGAAUAGUAAAAAAGCACUAUUCUCUCACUAAACUCCAUAUUUGCAGCAGCUCAGU
Molecule: long non-coding RNA, 302 nt
Filed under: Ananas comosus (pineapple)
Lineage: Eukaryota; Viridiplantae; Streptophyta; Magnoliopsida; Poales; Bromeliaceae
Description: long non-coding RNA (ACOM_LNC031638)
Source: RNAcentral